CACAGAGUCUGGGAAAUGAGUUCAUCCUUCGCUCUCAAGUCACAGAAAUAUUGAGACGAGGUCUAAAUUGCUGGCAGUUGGUGUAUCUACCACCUGUUGAUCCUAAGAUGACGCACCAAACCAGAUCGCUUGUCUCUGUGUUCCUGCUGCAAUGUCUUUAAUGUUGGUCCAAAUAUUAGACAAAUGCAAAUGGCAGAGUGGAAUUCUAACUACAGAGAGACCCAGAGAGACACUGGAUAGAGAGGGAAGUGGUCUGGGAUGGAGGUUGCUUGGUAACCGCUGUGUGUCCUGAGCGGUGGAGGGAAGCUGUGGAAUCUUGACAAAGCGUGAAAACAACACACACACACACACCCACACACACUGAGCCACAGACACGUCCGCAGACAGGGGGAUCAGACACAUAAAAUAUGUAUAGACGCUAACAGCAUGCAUCGCUGUGACACACACACACAUCAACAGACUUGUUUACACAAACAAGUUAAGGUCACUUGGGUGCGAUGGAUUGCCCUCAAUAUGUCAGUCUCGCCACGCUUACUUUUAUGUCAACAAAUCGAUGCUCCCGCCCAUACCUCAACCUAAGAAGCACUUACAUUUACACACACACACACACACACACA
Molecule: long non-coding RNA, 617 nt
Organism: Paralichthys olivaceus (Japanese flounder)
Lineage: Eukaryota; Metazoa; Chordata; Actinopteri; Pleuronectiformes; Paralichthyidae
Source: RefSeq, a predicted model, not a curated record